GUCAGCAGGCGCUUAUUUCAGUCAAAUGGGUCAGUCCAUUCACAGACAAGACUUAAGAAAAUAUUACCUUUCUACUUAAAGAUUCCAGGAAUUGCACUUUCUGGGCCCAAAGCCUCCCUGCCUGCCCUCACACCUUUUCUACAGCUGCUGGGUCAGACUGAAGCCUGGGGCCGGCCUACACCUCUGCCUUCGAGUCUUAUCUUCAGUUGCCUGGGCUGCCUUCGGCCGGAGGCCCGCCUACCUGCCCAUGCGCCGUUCUUCAGCAGUCCGGCUGCCCGGCUGCCCGCCAUCAGCAGGCCCACAGCAAGAGUGACGGCCAUAUCGGAGUGGCGAGCAGCAGAGAGAGAGCCUCUCCGAGGCUAAUGGCUGAGAAUUGAAGCCCACCGGGAGAGCGAAGAUAGUCACUGCAAUAAAAGACCCAGCAGACUACAGCGGUUGAAAUGAAUUCUUUCUACAAGAAGAUUUUUCAGAUAUCCACUAUCCAGUUAUGUCAUUACACUGAAGAAAAAUAGCUUGCCACAGCACCACACAAUCUCAGAGGAAGGGUAGAGAUAAAGCUUCCUGAGCAACUAUGGACUGAAACUGCUAAAAACCAUGCAGAGCUUUCCUGUGCCAGACCCUUCCAUCACAUCAUUUCUCUCACGGAGCCAGCCAACUAGGGAUUGUAACUGCUACCAAAAGGUGGGCAGCUUCCUCCACAACACACUCCUGCUGAGAUCUGUCCUGGCACCAGUCUGAAAGCAACAGGACUAACCAACCAUGGUCUGAAGCUGCUGAAACUGUGAGCCCAAAUAAGUCUUUUCUUUUUAAGUUUAUUUAUCUCAGGUAUUUGUUACACCAACAGACCCCUACUACUAC
Molecule: long non-coding RNA, 858 nt
Filed under: Heterocephalus glaber (naked mole-rat)
Lineage: Eukaryota; Metazoa; Chordata; Mammalia; Rodentia; Bathyergidae
Description: lncRNA (ENSHGLG00000032153.1)
Source: RNAcentral